RNAcentral lists this long non-coding RNA (568 nucleotides) under Homo sapiens (human). RNAcentral's name for it is "non-protein coding lnc-CCAR1-2:1". The record is from RNAcentral. Lineage: Eukaryota; Metazoa; Chordata; Mammalia; Primates; Hominidae.
GGAGAUCCUAAACUUGUGAAUUGUGUGUUAAGAGAAAAAAAAAUUGUUCAUGCAAAGUGCAUGAAUAUAUCAGGAAAGCUUCCUUCCAAGGCUAAAAUCUUUUUGUGGUGUAACUAGUUUCUGGCCUAAAUCUCAUGGGAUUUUUUUUCACUCAUACUUCUAAGUGGCUAUUUUGAAACAGUUAUUUUUAGGUAUUUAAGCUUUAAAAAUGUUUCCAAGCCUAGGUUUAGAUAUUCUAAUUACCUUUUAAAUAUUUAGCUCUUGGCAUUGUUUUACAAUGUCGAGAGCAGAUGCCUUUCCAAUUCAGCAGUUUUAGAACCCAUGUGUCCUAGACUCAACAUCAAAGAAUGCCAUAUUUUUCUCAUCACUUUAAUUUUUCUCCUUUAUUGCACGACUGCAGUUUCAUUAUUAACAUGUGGUUAAGAGGGUACCUCUUGGUAUGAACUUUGUUCUAGGUUCUCAAAUUUGGGGGAUUAAUUUAAAUGUCAGAAUUAGAUUUUUUCAACACCCCCUUUUAAAAAAAUUAAUUAGCAUGAAUUUGUAUUUUCAUGGCCUUUGCCCUGAAAAG